GACGAACGCUGGCGGCGUGCUUAACACAUGCAAGUCGAACGGAAAGGCCCUGCUUUUGUGGGGUGCUCGAGCGGCGAACGGGUGAGUAACACGUGAGUAACCUGCCCUUGACUUUGGGAUAACUUCAGGAAACUGGGCUAAUACCGGAUAGGAGCUCCUGCUGCAUGGUGGGGGUUGGAAAGUUUCGGCGGUUGGGGAUGGACUCGCGGCUUAUCAGCUUGUUGGUGGGGUAGUGGCUUACCAAGGCUUUGACGGGUAGCCGGCCUGAGAGGGUGACCGGCCACAUUGGGACUGAGAUACGGCCCAGACUCCUACGGGAGGCAGCAGUGGGGAAUAUUGCACAAUGGGCGGAAGCCUGAUGCAGCAACGCCGCGUGCGGGAUGACGGCCUUCGGGUUGUAAACCGCUUUCGCCUGUGACGAAGCGUGAGUGACGGUAAUGGGUAAAGAAGCACCGGCUAACUACGUG
This 467-nucleotide ribosomal RNA is filed under the name uncultured bacterium. Its description in RNAcentral is "partial 16S ribosomal RNA". It matches the Rfam family "Bacterial small subunit ribosomal RNA", at positions 28 to 507 of the family's 1533-position model. The record is from RNAcentral.